CCUACGGGAGGCAGCAGUGAGGAAUAUUGGUCAAUGGACGAGAGUCUGAACCAGCCAAGUAGCGUGAAGGAUGACUGCCCUAUGGGUUAUAAACUUCUUUUAUAUGGGAAUAAAAUGUUCCACGUGUGGGCUUUUGUAUGUACCCUAUGAAUAAGGAUCGGCUAACUCCGUGCCAGCAGCCGCGGUAAUACGGAGGAUCCGAGCGUUAUCCGGAUUUAUUGGGUUUAAAGGGUGCGCAGGCGGCCUGUUAAGUCAGUUGUGAAAGUUUGCGGCUCAACCGUAAAAUUGCAGUUGAAACUGGCAGUCUUGAGUACAGUAGAGGUGGGCGGAAUUCGUGGUGUAGCGGUGAAAUGCUUAGAUAUCACGAAGAACUCCGAUUGCGAAGGCAGCUCACUGGACUGCAACUGACACUGAGGCUCGAAAGUGUGGGUAUCAAACAGGAUUAGAUACCCCAGUAGUC
RNAcentral lists this ribosomal RNA (460 nucleotides) under uncultured bacterium. RNAcentral's name for it is "partial 16S ribosomal RNA". It matches the Rfam family "Bacterial small subunit ribosomal RNA", at positions 338 to 795 of the family's 1533-position model. The record is from RNAcentral.